UACGGAGGGGGCUAGCGUUGUUCGGAAUUACUGGGCGUAAAGCGCACGUAGGCGGCAAUUCAAGUCAGGGGUGAAAUCCCGGGGCUCAACCCCGGAACUGCCCUUGAAACUGGAUCGCUAGAAUCUUGGAGAGGCGAGUGGAAUUCCGAGUGUAGAGGUGAAAUUCGUAGAUAUUCGGAAGAACACCAGUGGCGAAGGCGACUCGCUGGACAAGUAUUGACGCUGAGGUGCGAAAGCGUGGGGAGCAAACAGG
RNAcentral lists this ribosomal RNA (253 nucleotides) under uncultured bacterium. RNAcentral describes it as "partial 16S ribosomal RNA". It matches the Rfam family "Bacterial small subunit ribosomal RNA", at positions 524 to 776 of the family's 1533-position model. The record is from RNAcentral.